UACGAAGGGGGCUAGCGUUGCUCGGAAUCACUGGGCGUAAAGCGCACGUAGGCGGAUUGUUAAGUCAGGGGUGAAAUCCUGGAGCUCAACUCCAGAACUGCCUUUGAUACUGGCGAUCUUGAGUCCGGGAGAGGUGAGUGGAACUCCGAGUGUAGAGGUGAAAUUCGUAGAGAUGUGGAGGAACACCAGUGGCGAAGGCGGCUCUUUGGUCUGUAACUGACGCUGAGGCGCGAAAGCGUGGGGAUCAAACAGG
This 253-nucleotide ribosomal RNA is filed under the name uncultured bacterium. Its description in RNAcentral is "partial 16S ribosomal RNA". It matches the Rfam family "Bacterial small subunit ribosomal RNA", at positions 524 to 776 of the family's 1533-position model. The record is from RNAcentral.